AAUUUGGGUAGGGUUGUUGGUUCAGGUUUAGAAAGAUUAAGAUUAUGCUACUCUUAUGUCUUCCCUAAAAAGGACCAAGAAGCAAAAUUUUGCUCCCCCAAAAUGUAUAUUUUCAUUUUUUGGAGUCCAGUGCAACCCUCUAAUGACUGACUGACUUGAACUUACUAUAACUUUUGAACCUUCAAUCUUCUUAUGCUUCUAGAAAGCGUAAGAAGUUCACAUUUACUGAUAAUAUCAUUAAAGUUAAUAGAAAUUCAGCCAACAAAAUAUAAAACUUAGGCUCUGUUAAGCAAGUGGCUAUUUUAGCUUAAAAAGUCACUCAAAAGUCAAAAAGGCAAAAAAGUUUUUAACUCAUACAAAAAAAUCAAAAAAUCCUUUGCAUUCUCUCUACAAAGUCAAAGAUUCCUUCCCAUUCACACUACCUUUUGCAUAUUUUUUCAUAAAAAGCCAAAGAGUCGUUCCCAAACAUAUUAUUGUUUUUUUUUCACCUCAUAUUUUAGUUUAAGAGCACUAAAAAGCCAUUUCCCAAACAGGCCCUUAAUUACAUUGAUCAGUAUGCUGAUAGACAAAUAAACCUGAGAAAGGGAAAGUAAAUGCUACUAUUUAAAAACUAAAAGGACUUUGAAGACACCAAGAGAAAACAGUUCUACUCUGGCAGAUUCCUAUUUUUAAAUGAUCCAAUGCUGAAUUACUUCUCUAGAAAAGCUUAAAAUCACAAUUACUAGUGUCAACUUCGCAAAUCUGUCUUUCCCUUAUAGCUCUAACUGGGGCCUAUUCUCUAUUACAUCCUAGGCAAUCAUGUCUUCCUACAACUGCUACCCAUGUUCUCUUUAGACCUUGCUCUAUUCCUUCUUAUCACACCUUCAACUUAAAUGACAUCACACUUCCUCAUAAAAUUAUCUGUUGGUAAUUAUGUUCCUUCUUUUUUUAUCUUCUGAUCAGUAACAAAGAAAAUUGUAUUAAAGAAGUGCCAAGGGGCACAACCUAAAAGUACAGUUUAGAUUCCAACAUUAUUAUCUCAACUACAAUGCUUUUUUUCUGAACAUACUAUUUCCAACUUUUUAAUAGUCAGCAUGCUAUUUAUAUACUCAAUCUUAUCCAACGGAUGACAUUAGUUUGCUAUAUAUAAUUACUCUAUUAAUCAAAUCCCUAACCUAUGACACACAACAUUCUGGAAAGAUUCCUUGACUUCAUUAUCCAACUCUUAUCCCAUGAAAACAUCCUAAAUUUUCGCACUGGUAAUAAUGCAAUACAAGAAAAGAAGGUUAUUUUUUGUUUAUAGUUUGACCAUUGGUUUUCACAAGUUUAGCAUACUUACUUAAAUUUACGUCCUAUAUAAUCUAUAAUAGUCUUAAAUAUCUCAAGACCAUUAGGUAUUGAGCAUCACUGAUGUGGUGAAGAUCCAAUUACAGUUUUGGUGGGAAAAGAUUGCUUGUCUAGUUAUCAUGACGAAUAGAAAACAUAGUUUAAGAAACUGUUUUGUUUAAUAAAUAUACUUAAGUAGCUUGUCAUUGGAUGACUGCAUGGAAGCCACAUAUCUCUAGCUUGUUAUGGGUGGUUACAAGUUAACCACUUGUCACCUUGUUGCUGAUUUGUAGUUUUUUUUAUCCCUAUGUACUUCACUAUGAACUAACUUCAUAAGCUACCUGUAGGGGGAUUUGAGGUAAACAAUGAUUAGGAGAAUAAUUAGAGAGGCAAAACUUUGUUAAUGGUCCAACAAAGAUGGAAUGGCUGGAGAAUAAGUCAACAAAACUCUAGGAAAAAGAGAAUGGCUGUGCACAAAUGGGCAACAUCUUCCCAAAUUCCCAGAAAUCCUCCUCUUGGACCUUGGGAAAUGGGUCCUAUUUAUAGGUUUUUUUUUUUGUACCAAAGGAUAGCAAAUGGCCAAAUAAAGUAAGGAUAUGUGUCCCUUAGAAUCACAUGGAAUAUUCUGUCUUGGGCCACCAGGGUGAAGGUGCUACGUGUCCCUCUACAUGUACUAUGUACUAUCUGUUUGGCACAGAUGUCUCAGCAAGUGCACUUGCGACGGGAGUGUUUGCCGCUGCAACUUGCCUUUUCAACUUGAACCUCAGCAAGUGCACUUGUGGCGGUAAUAUUUGCCGCUACACUUGGCUUCUCAGUUCAGUUUAACCAAGACAUGCAUUCUUAGGACUUCAUAGCCUGCUAUCAGCUAUGUUCGUGUUCACCUCAACAAAGUCUCCACCCUUAGCCACCUAACCACAAACUCUCUAGCUUCCCAUGGCGAAGGCCACAACCAAGUCUGCUAUCAGCCAUGAUACGCCUUAGUACCAAACCUAAAGGGACUUCCUUGGUCCUGUUGUGCAAUCAAGGCAAGUCCAUGACCUAGGUAAAUGGAAAAGGAGUCCCCUUGCACUCGGGCUACCCUGCUCCCAUCUUCGCGGGGUUACCGCGGGAUACUGAUAUCUUUGGGUCUGCUAUCAGCUCUAACCAGUAGGCUUUGGGGCUUGCUAUCAGCGCCAAGCAUUAGUCUCUACUUGUGGAGGGGGAGCUUCUCCCAAAGGCUGGUAUCAUCUUGACAGGGCGUUCCCUUCGCAAGUUAGUUGCGGUGGUUAUAGUUGUUGCGGUGGUUAUUUCCCAUGACAAGUUCAAAUGGUGGCGCCAACAAUACUACAGAUGGUGGCGUCGACAAAGUACUUCCACAACUUGACCGUUACAAGCGCUGCCUCUACAACUUAAUUGCUCCGGUUUUCUCUUUCCCACAACAACUUUAGAUGUCGGUGGUACUGGCAAUACUUGGAAUGGUGACGCUAAGACAGAGUGCCUUAGCAACUUGACCGUUGCAAGUAAUGCCUCUGCAACUUGACUCAGACAUUUUUCCCUAAUAAAAUCCACUCGGACCCUUGGCGGGUCAGACCUGCUUUGGCCUACUGUUGACUCACUUUCCCUGGGCUUUAGCCCAUGCUCCUUCAGCCAUUCCUAGUCGCCUAAAAACGGCAACCUCCGUACUCAGGUCCAUACUUGAUUCGGAGAUUAAUUUCUGACCCUUUACACUACCUGUAUUUGGAGAUUCAAAUAUCAAAUUUUGGUAAUUAUUAUAGCCUUAAUUUGCUGUUUGUUAGGCUUGGUUUUGAGUCCCAUAACCUGUUUUCUUGCAUAAUUUCAGGCUUGUUCCGAGUGUUAUUCGGACCAAGGUCAUACUUUAGUUGUUCGAACCUCCCAUCAAUCACUUUAUUCUUCGAAUCUAGAAUUAGGUCCUAAUAUUUCUAUUUUGAGAACUAAAACUAUAUAAUCACCAAACAACAUACAUCACAAAACGUUCUUUUGUACAUGUCUAGCAAAUCUAUCUGUGACUAAAUCAAAUUGGAAAUGGUUGCCCACAUAGUAAGGCCAUUUUGAUUAGUAAAUCUUUCUCCCUCUAAUUUCAUAUUGUUAAAUUGUUCAUGUCCAUAAUGAUGUCCAUUUGUGUGAUUUGUAUGCCUAUCUUCUCCAACACCCUACUACACACAACGAGUGUGUUUUUUCCAAGUCACUGUAACGAUGGAAAACACCUUGGCUUUAAGCCUUCACAUAAUCACUUACAUUUUUUGGACAAAUGUAAUGUA
Non-coding RNA from Camellia sinensis, 3563 nucleotides. NCBI's taxonomy places the organism in Eukaryota, Viridiplantae, Streptophyta, Magnoliopsida, Ericales, Theaceae. The record is from RefSeq and is a predicted model, not a curated record.